GACGAACGCUGGCGGCGUGCUUAACACAUGCAAGUCGAGCGGUAAGGCCCUUUCGGGGGUACACGAGCGGCGAACGGGUGAGUAACACGUGUGUGACCUGCCCUCAGCUCUGGGAUAAGCCCGGGAAACCGGGUCUAAUACUGGAUAUGACUCCAUGACGCAUGUUGUGGGGUGGAAAGCCUUGUGCGGCUGAGGAUGGGCCCGCGGCCUAUCAGCUUGUUGGUGGGGGGAUGGCCUACCAAGGCGAC
RNAcentral lists this ribosomal RNA (248 nucleotides) under uncultured bacterium. RNAcentral's name for it is "partial 16S ribosomal RNA". It matches the Rfam family "Bacterial small subunit ribosomal RNA", at positions 28 to 277 of the family's 1533-position model. The record is from RNAcentral.